UGGGGAAUUUGGACAAUGGGCGAAAGCCUGAUCCAGCAAUGCCGCGUGUGUGAAGAAGGCCUUCGGGUUGUAAAGCACUUUUGUCCGGAAAGAAAUCCUUGGCUCUAAUACAGUCGGGGGAUGACGGUACCGGAAGAAUAAGCACCGGCUAACUACGUGCCAGCAGCCGCGGUAAUACGUAGGGUGCAAGCGUUAAUCGGAAUUACUGGGCGUAAAGCGUGCGCAGGCGGUUUGCUAAGACCGAUGUGAAAUCCCCGGGCUAACCUGGGAACUGCAUUGGUGACUGGCAGGCUAGAGUAUGGCAGAGGGGGGUAGAAUUCCACGUGUAGCAGUGAAAUGCGUAGAGAUGUGGAGGAAUACCGAUGGCGAAGGCAGCCCCCUGGGCCAAUACUGACGCUCAUGCACGAAAGCGUGGGGAGCAAACAGGAUUAGAUACCCUGGUAGUCCACGCCCUAAACGAUGUCAACUAGUUGUUGGGGAUUCAUUUCCUUAGUAACGUAGCUAACGCGUGAAGUUGACCGCCUGGGGAGUACGGUCGCAAGAUUAAAACUCAAAU
Molecule: ribosomal RNA, 556 nt
Filed under: uncultured bacterium
Lineage: Bacteria
Description: partial 16S ribosomal RNA
Rfam family: Bacterial small subunit ribosomal RNA
Source: RNAcentral